CAUAAUAUGAGCGUUUUAUGCAACAAAAUCUUAAGAGCUUUCGUUUUGUGUUAAAGAAUUAGAGGCUAAAUCGCAUGAUGAAUUUAUCAGUCGUGAGAUAAUCUCAUAGUCGAUCCUGGAGCACGUACCUGGAGUAGGCAGUUUUUUCAUCAAAAUAUGAGAGAUGACGCGCAAGUAUGGGAAUGUGUCCAGGUAACGAAAUCGGGACACUCGGAUCGAACGUUGUUGGAACAACUGUGGAAAUUUUACAUACAUAAUGGGACAAGACCUAAAAUAAAAAUCCAAACAGCACCUCUUUAUAGUAAAAAUACAAGGUGCGUGUAACA
Molecule: long non-coding RNA, 326 nt
Organism: Bombyx mori (domestic silkworm)
Lineage: Eukaryota; Metazoa; Arthropoda; Insecta; Lepidoptera; Bombycidae
Exons: 3
Source: RefSeq, a predicted model, not a curated record